AGGCUGAGGGAGCUGCACCUGAGGAAACCCAGGAGGCAAAGGUGGUCCUGGUCAGGAUGAUGAGGAGGUCCGUGUGGCUGGAGCAGGUGAGCUAGGUGGAGAGAGGCCGUAGAUGAGGGCAGAGCUGCUGCGGGAGCCAAACGUGUAAGGAUCUUUUCGGGCAGUGAGAGGACGUUGGUUUCUCACAGCAGAGAAGGGACAUCAUCUGACAUAUUUUAAAAGUAUCUCUCCGGCUCCCUUGUGGACUGUAAGGGACCAAGAGUUGAAACAGGCACCCAGGAGGAGUCCUUCCAGCAACUGAGAGGACUUGGUCCGAUUCUACCUCCGGAACAAUGCUCAGCCCACAGCCCUCAUUCCCUCCGUGAUGAACAGUAACUGUGGACUUUUGACCUUCCUCUUGAGCUUGGUCUGAGUCUUGGCAUUUACAACCACGGCUCUAGUUAAGAAACGUCAACAUGGC
This 460-nucleotide long non-coding RNA is filed under the name Homo sapiens (human). RNAcentral describes it as "non-protein coding lnc-MAST4-6:1". The record is from RNAcentral. Lineage: Eukaryota; Metazoa; Chordata; Mammalia; Primates; Hominidae.